This 73-nucleotide transfer RNA is filed under the name Nesophrosyne sp. 15 GMB-2012. Its description in RNAcentral is "tRNA-Asp". It matches the Rfam family "tRNA". Rfam says of the family: Transfer RNA (tRNA) molecules are approximately 80 nucleotides in length. Their secondary structure includes four short double-helical elements and three loops (D, anti-codon, and T loops). Lineage: Eukaryota; Metazoa; Arthropoda; Insecta; Hemiptera; Cicadellidae. The record is from RNAcentral.
GAGUAUCUAGUUUAACUUUUAUAAAACACUAGACUGUCAAACUAGAGAUGCUUUAAAUAUAAAGUGAUUCUCA